Molecule: ribosomal RNA, 454 nt
Filed under: uncultured bacterium
Lineage: Bacteria
Description: SSU rRNA
Rfam family: Bacterial small subunit ribosomal RNA
Source: RNAcentral
AGAGCGAACGCUGGCGGCAUGCUUAACACAUGCAAGUCGCACGGGCAGGGGAAACCCUGUCAGUGGCGGACGGGUGAGUAACGCGUAGGUAUCUAUCCUUGGGUGGGGGACAACUGUGGGAAACUACAGCUAAUACCGCAUGAUGACCGAGGUCCAAAGCUCGCGAGAGCGCCUGGGGAGGAGCCUGCGUACGAUUAGCUAGUUGGUGGGGUAAAGGCCUACCAAGGCGACGAUCGUUAGCUGGUCUGAGAGGAUGAUCAGCCACAUUGGGACUGAGACACGGCCCAAACUCCUACGGGAGGCAGCAGUGGGGAAUAUUGGACAAUGGGCGAAAGCCUGAUCCAGCAAUGCCGCGUGUGUGAAGAAGGUCUUCGGAUUGUAAAGCACUUUCGACGGGGACGAUGAUGACGGUACCCGUAGAAGAAGCCCCGGCUAACUUCGUGCCAGCAGCCGC